Molecule: ribosomal RNA, 428 nt
Filed under: uncultured bacterium
Lineage: Bacteria
Description: bacterial SSU rRNA
Rfam family: Bacterial small subunit ribosomal RNA
Source: RNAcentral
UCGAGGAUAUUUAGCAAUGGACGAAAGUCUGACUAUGCGACGCCGCGUGCAGGAUGAAGGUCUUCGGAUUGUAAACUGCUUUUGUUAGGGAAGAAACCUGUGUUAUUAAUAGUAACACAGCUGACGGUACCUGGCGAAUAAGCCACGGCAAACCCUGUGCCAGCAGCCGCGGUAAUACAGGGGUGGCAAGCGUUACUCGGAAUUAUUGGGUGUAAAGGGCAGGUAGGUGGUCUUGUAAGUGAGGGGUGAAAUCCCAUGGUUCAAUCAUGGAACUGCCUUUCAAACUGCUAGACUUGAGAGUGUUAGGGGAGAAUGGAAUUCCCGGUGUAAGGGUGAAAUCUGUAGAUAUCGGGAAGAACACCAACAGCGAAGGCAAUUCUCUGGGACACUUCUGACGCUGAACUGCGAAAGCUAGGGGAGCAAACAGA